Gasterosteus aculeatus aculeatus (three-spined stickleback) is the source of this 1711-nucleotide long non-coding RNA. The record is from Ensembl. NCBI's taxonomy places the organism in Eukaryota, Metazoa, Chordata, Actinopteri, Perciformes, Gasterosteidae.
UACACAGCAAAUUGAGCAGAGUUAAAUUUCUGGUGUUAAUAAAGAUAGAGUCAAUCGAACUCUAUUUGGAAUUGAUCUAAAUCUGUAUGUUGUUAAAUCUGUUUGAUUUCACACUGCACCACAAAAGAGUUGGUGUCAAAAUGGAGUGUUAUUACUGUUAUUGUGAAACCAACUCUAUGGGUCGUCAGUCUCUCAGCUCGGGUGUAAGGAGUGACUACCCUCUGGCAUCGCGCGAACAAUAAUCUCGUGAGAGCAACAAUCUGGCGGGAUUCAAGUAAUUUACCUGCACAACUCAACUGGAACGCAACGAGCAGCACAACGUUUUCGAGGAGAGUUUGUUCAAAAUUGAAGAAAACGUGUUGCAUUGUGUCGGAAAUGUUGGCUAAAGUGGAAAUUGGAGGGGUCCUAAAAUACGUGAAAAUUCCAGAGACUGAUGGAUUUUUUCAAUUUGAUAUGUUCCUUCAAGAAGUGAACGACAAGUUUAGUCUGCACCCAGACAGCUUCAGCGAGGGCCAGUUCACCAUCACAGAUAUGUCAGGAACAGAGGUGGAUGGAGAUAUCUUUGAUGAGGUUGUCAAGUCGGGUGUCCUGACCUUCAAGGUCCCUUUACCAGUAAUGGAUCUGGAUGUUGAGCUGGUUGCAGAUCAAGCAUCCUCCUCUGUAUUGACAUCGCUGUCCCCAACUUCAUCCCAUUCAUCCUUGGUAGUGGCACAGACUGCACUAUCCCCAGCUUUAUCCCAUUCAUCUGAUUCCACCGUUAUUCUGGAGUCCACAAGAAAAAGGAGGAACCCAACAGGGUUAAUGGACCAGAAUGAAGCAAAACAGAUGGUUGAGGGUGUUCUGAGGGCCAAUCCAAAGGGUGAAGAAGUCUUUAAUGAGUAUGAUAAGACUAAAACACUAACUGAUGCAACCCGUAAACAAAUGGUGAACAUCCUGGUUGCAGAUAUGAUAGAGCUACAUGGGAGGGUUCCACCGUCAAGUGUAAGGACCAAUUAUGCACUGGGAAUUGUGACUCUUUUUCCAUACCUCCGUGAUCCAUUCUCCAAACUUGGAUAUGAUGGGACAGUGAUAUGUCUUCAAUCCUUUUGCUGCUGCAUCUACUCCCUCCAACUUCAAGGGGCCAGAAAAAAACUGCCAAGAUCAGUUCAGCUCAAGCAACCAGCCAUCUUGUUAGAUAUCUUAAGGAAGGAGCCAGUAUUCCUACCUUCCUUGAGAGUGUCGACGCAAACAACCGUUCCUCCUUUGCAUCGGUGAGCAAAAGAAGAAUAUCCAAAGGUUCUACCUUAUUAUCGACCGAAAACCACUCCCGUGCAAGGCACACACAUCAGUGGCAGCUUUAGACAUUACAUUUGGCCGCCUGUUCAAAUGUUACAAGUACAAGGUGGGUCAGAUAUUACGGUACUGAGUACCAGGUUGGGUUGUACUUAUGCACUGGAUGUACCGAUGAUCUUCCUGUGUUCAAAAAGAUCUGUGAUAUUAUAAUACAUGAACAGCACGCUUUCAUAAUAUCCUGUAAUGUACAAACAAUGUACUAUGAUGACCACUUUAGUGCAUACUGUAUAGAAGACCAAAUGAAUGUGUUUUCUGUCAUAUCUGUGAAGGCACUGACUUAUUUUAGACCAUUUGACAAGCAAUGCUCUAAUGACAAUAGUCAAAGAGCGAACAUAGUGCCUUAUUGUUACAUUUAGAUAAAUGUACAGCAAUGAAAAAA